UUGUAUGGCCCAACCUCCUUGUCAAAGCCUGAUCUCUUCAGAUCUCAGAAGCUCAGCAAGGUUGUGCAUGGUUGGUACUUGGAUGGGAGACCACUGGGAAUGCCAGGUGCCACAGC
RNAcentral lists this ribosomal RNA (116 nucleotides) under Periophthalmus magnuspinnatus. The record is from RNAcentral. Lineage: Eukaryota; Metazoa; Chordata; Actinopteri; Gobiiformes; Gobiidae.